This 215-nucleotide long non-coding RNA is filed under the name Gossypium barbadense (sea-island cotton). Its description in RNAcentral is "long non-coding RNA (GBAR_LNC010457)". Lineage: Eukaryota; Viridiplantae; Streptophyta; Magnoliopsida; Malvales; Malvaceae. The record is from RNAcentral.
AAGCCUAAAAGACUAAAAAGAAAGUCUCUAGAACAAUGAAAUAAAAGAAAAGAGAAAAGAGGAGAAGAACAAAACCAACAAAUAAAGAACAAAAGGAACAUGAGUGUAAAGAGAGGUGUAGGUAGUUAGGAAUAGAAAGAAAACUAAAAUAUCCUAACAAAAAUAUUAAACUACAAUUUUAAAGGAACAAAAUAACUAAAAUACACCUACCAAAU